UCCCCAGGCGGAGUGCUUAAUGCGUUAGCUGCAGCACUAAGGGGCGGAAACCCCCUAACACUUAGCACUCAUCGUUUACGGCGUGGACUACCAGGGUAUCUAAUCCUGUUUGAUCCCCACGCUUUCGCACAUCAGCGUCAGUUACAGACCAGAAAGUCGCCUUCGCCACUGGUGUUCCUCCAUAUCUCUGCGCAUUUCACCGCUACACAUGGAAUUCCACUUUCCUCUUCUGCACUCAUGUUUUCCAGUUUCCAAUGACCCUCCACGGUUGAGCCGUGGGCUUUCACAUCAGACUUAAAAAACCGCCUACGCGCGCUUUACGCCCAAUAAUUCCGGAUAACGCUUGCCACCUACGUAUUACCGCGGCUGCUGGCACGUAGUUAGCCGUGGCUUUCUGAUUAGGUACCGUCAAGAUGUGCACAGUUACUUACACAUAUGUUCUUCCCUAAUAACAGAGUUUUACGAUCCGAAGACCUUCAUCACUCACGCGGCGUUGCUCCGUCAGGCUUUCGCCCAUUGCGGAAGAUUCCCUACUGCUGCCUCCCGUAG
RNAcentral lists this ribosomal RNA (549 nucleotides) under uncultured Staphylococcus sp. RNAcentral describes it as "partial 16S ribosomal RNA". Lineage: Bacteria; Bacillati; Bacillota; Bacilli; Caryophanales; Staphylococcaceae. The record is from RNAcentral.